This 248-nucleotide ribosomal RNA is filed under the name uncultured bacterium. RNAcentral's name for it is "partial 16S ribosomal RNA". It matches the Rfam family "Bacterial small subunit ribosomal RNA", at positions 17 to 245 of the family's 1533-position model. The record is from RNAcentral.
AUCUGGCUCAGGAUGAACGCUGGCGGCGUGCUUAACACAUGCAAGUCGAGCGAAGCGCUUUGGAAAGAUUCUUCGGAUGAUUUCCUUUGUGACUGAGCGGGCGACGGGUGAAGGUAACGCGUGGGUAACCUGCCUCAUACAGGGGGAUAACAGUUAGAAAUGACUGCUAAUACCGCAUAAGACCACGGUACCGCAUGGUACAGUGGUAAAAACUCCGGUGGUAUGAGAUGGACCCGCGUCUGAUUAGG